UACGUAGGGUGCAAGCGUUGUCCGGAAUUAUUAGGCGUAAAGAGCUCGUAGGCGGUCUGUCGCGUCGGCUGUGAAAACCCGGGGCUCAACUCCGGGCCUGCAGUCGAUACGGGCAGACUAGAGUUCGGCAGGGGAGACUGGAAUUCCUGGUGUAGCGGUGAAAUGCGCAGAUAUCAGGAGGAACACCGGCGGCGAAGGCGGCACUCUGGGCCGGUACUGACGCUGAGGAGCGAAAGCGUGGGUAGCAAACAGG
This 253-nucleotide ribosomal RNA is filed under the name uncultured bacterium. RNAcentral's name for it is "partial 16S ribosomal RNA". It matches the Rfam family "Bacterial small subunit ribosomal RNA", at positions 524 to 776 of the family's 1533-position model. The record is from RNAcentral.